Molecule: ribosomal RNA, 231 nt
Filed under: uncultured Staphylococcus sp.
Lineage: Bacteria; Bacillati; Bacillota; Bacilli; Caryophanales; Staphylococcaceae
Description: partial 16S ribosomal RNA
Rfam family: Bacterial small subunit ribosomal RNA
Source: RNAcentral
AGUAACACGUGGAUAACCUACCUAUAAGACUGGGAUAACUUCGGGAAACUGGAGCUAAUACCGGAUAAUAUUUUGAACCGCAUGGUUCAAAAGUGAAAGACGGUCUUGCUGUCACUUAUAGAUGGAUCCGCGCUGCAUUAGCUAGUUGGUAAGGUAACGGCUUACCAAGGCAACGAUGCAUAGCCGACCUGAGAGGGUGAUCGGCCACACUGGAACUGAGACACGGUCCAG